AAAGAUUUAGUUUAGUUUAAAACAUUAAUUUGUCAAGUUAAAGAUAUUAAGUUAUAAAGUAGUCUUUA
Molecule: transfer RNA, 68 nt
Filed under: Metidiocerus sp.
Lineage: Eukaryota; Metazoa; Arthropoda; Insecta; Hemiptera; Cicadellidae
Description: tRNA-Asp
Source: RNAcentral